GGCCUCUCUAGCUUGCGGCCUGUGUCUAUGGUCGGGCCCUCUGCGUCCAGCUGCUCCGGACCGAGCUCGGGUGUAUGGGGCCGUAGGAACCGGCUCCGGGGCCCCGAUAACGGGCCGCCCCCACAGCACCCCGGGCUGGCGUGAGGUUGUUACACUCUGGUACCGAGCUCCCGAAGUUCUUCUGCAGUCCACAUAUGCAACACCUGUGGACAUGUGGAGUGUUGGCUGUAUC
Molecule: long non-coding RNA, 232 nt
Filed under: Homo sapiens (human)
Lineage: Eukaryota; Metazoa; Chordata; Mammalia; Primates; Hominidae
Description: HSALNT0190038
Source: RNAcentral